UCGGCUUAGAGUUUGAUCAUGGCUCAGGACGAACGCUGGCGGCGUGCCUAAUACAUGCAAGUUGAGCGUUGGUACUUGUACCAAGAGCAGCGAACGGGUGAGUAACGCGUGGGGAAUCUGCCUUUGAGCGGGGGACAACAUUUGGAAACGAAUGCUAAUACCGCAUAAAAACUUAACACAAGUUUAAGUUGAAAGAUGAUUGCAUCACUCAAAGAUGAUCCCGCGUUGUAUUAGCUAGUUGGUGAGGUAAAGGCUCACCAAGGCGAUGAUACAUAGCCGACCUGAGAGGGUGAUCGGCCACAUUGGGACUGAGACACGGCCCAAACUCCUACGGGAGGCAGCAGUAGGGAAUCUUCGGCAAUGGACGAAAGUCUGACCGAGCAACGCCGCGUGAGUGAAGAAGGUUUUCGGAUCGUAAAACUCUGUUGGUAGAGAAGAACGUUGGUGAGGAAACUCAUCAAGUGACGGUAACUACCCAGAAAGGGACGGCUAACUACGUGCCAGCAGCCGCGGUAAUACGUAGGUCCCGAGCGUUGUCCGGAUUUAUUGGGCGUAAAGCGAGCGCAGGUGGUUUAUUAAGUCUGGUGUAAAAGGCAGUGGCUCAACCAUUGUAUGCAUUGGAAACUGGUAGACUUGAGUGCACGAGAGGAGAGUGGAAUUCCAUGUGUAGCGGUGAAAUGCGUAGAUAUAUGGAGGAACACCGGUGGCGAAAGCGGCUCUCUGGCCUGUAACUGACACUGAGGCUCGAAAGCGUGGGG
This 758-nucleotide ribosomal RNA is filed under the name uncultured Lactococcus sp. RNAcentral describes it as "bacterial SSU rRNA". It matches the Rfam family "Bacterial small subunit ribosomal RNA", at positions 1 to 766 of the family's 1533-position model. Lineage: Bacteria; Bacillati; Bacillota; Bacilli; Lactobacillales; Streptococcaceae. The record is from RNAcentral.